RNAcentral lists this ribosomal RNA (1342 nucleotides) under uncultured bacterium. RNAcentral describes it as "bacterial SSU rRNA". It matches the Rfam family "Bacterial small subunit ribosomal RNA", at positions 28 to 1381 of the family's 1533-position model. The record is from RNAcentral.
AUUGAACGCUGGUGGCAGGCCUAACACAUGCAAGUCGAGCGGUAGAGAGAAGCUUGCUUCUCUUGAGAGCGGCGGACGGGUGAGUAAUGCCUAGGAAUCUGCCUGGUAGUGGGGGAUAACGUUCGGAAACGGACGCUAAUACCGCAUACGUCCUACGGGAGAAAGCAGGGGACCUUCGGGCCUUGCGCUAUCAGAUGAGCCUAGGUCGGAUUAGCUAGUUGGUGAGGUAAUGGCUCACCAAGGCGAUGAUCUUUAGCCGGCCUGAGAGGGUGACCGGCCACAUUGGGACUGAGAUACGGCCCAGACUCCUACGGGAGGCAGCAGUGGGGAAUAUUGCACAAUGGGCGGAAGCCUGAUGCAGCAACGCCGCGUGCGGGAUGACGGCCUUCGGGUUGUAAACCGCUUUCGCCUGUGACGAAGCGUGAGUGACGGUAAUGGGUAAAGAAGCACCGGCUAACUACGUGCCAGCAGCCGCGGUGAUACGUAGGGUGCGAGCGUUGUCCGGAUUUAUUGGGCGUAAAGGGCUCGUAGGUGGUUGAUCGCGUCGGAAGUGUAAUCUUGGGGCUUAACCCUGAGCGUGCUUUCGAUACGGGUUGACUUGAGGAAGGUAGGGGAGAAUGGAAUUCCUGGUGGAGCGGUGGAAUGCGCAGAUAUCAGGAGGAACACCAGUGGCGAAGGCGGUUCUCUGGGCCUUUCCUGACGCUGAGGAGCGAAAGCGUGGGGAGCGAACAGGCUUAGAUACCCUGAUAGUCCACGCUGUAAACGGUGGGUACUAGGUGUGGGGUCCAUUCCACGGGUUCCGUGCCGUAGCUAACGCUUUAAGUACCCCGCCUGGGGAGUACGGCCGCAAGGCUAAAACUCAAAGGAAUUGACGGGGCCCCGCACAAGCGGCGGAGCAUGCGGAUUAAUUCGAUGCAACGCGUAGAACCUUACCUGGGUUUGACAUGGAUCGGGAGUGCUCAGAGAUGGGUGUGCCUCUUUUGGGGUCGGUUCACAGGUGGUGCAUGCCUGUCGUCAGCUCGUGUCGUGAGAUGUUGGGUUAAGUCCCGCAACGAGCGCAACCCUUGUUCACUGUUGCCAGCACGUUAUGGUGGGGACUCAGUGGAGACCGCCGGGGUCAACUCGGAGGAAGGUGGGGAUGACGUCAAGUCAUCAUGCCCCUUAUGUCCAGGGCUUCACGCAUGCUACAAUGGCUGGUACAGAGAGUGGCGAGCCUGUGAGGGUGAGCGAAUCUCGGAAAGCCGGUCUCAGUUCGGAUUGGGGUCUGCAACUCGACCUCAUGAAGUCGGAGUCGCUAGUAAUCGCAGAUCAGCAACGCUGCGGUGAAUACGUUCCCGGGGCU